CAGUAGCGUAUACUAAAGUUGUUGCAGUUAAAAAGCUCGUAGUUGAAUUUCUGUGUAGUGUACUUGCGGUCUUCGGACCAAUAUGCACUGCACAUCCAUCUGAACAGCACUUCUCGUCAUUCAUUUGUCGGUUGUGUGAUCAGAUACUUUACCUUGAGAAAAUAGAGUGUUCCAAGCAGGCGUCCGCCUGAAUAAUAAAGCAUGGAAUAAUACAAUAGGACUGGGUUCUAUUGGUGCAUAGAACUUAGUAAUGAUUAAUAGGGACAGUUGGGGGCAUUCGUAUUUAAUUGUCAGAGGUGAAAUUCUUUGAUUUAUUAAAGACGAACCUAUGCGAAAGCAUUUGCCAAGGAUGUUUUCAUUAAUCAAGAACGAAAGUUAAGGGAUCGAAGACGAUCAGAUACCGU
This 404-nucleotide ribosomal RNA is filed under the name uncultured eukaryote. RNAcentral describes it as "bacterial SSU rRNA". It matches the Rfam family "Eukaryotic small subunit ribosomal RNA", at positions 592 to 1018 of the family's 1831-position model. The record is from RNAcentral.